RNAcentral lists this long non-coding RNA (14657 nucleotides) under Marmota monax (woodchuck). Lineage: Eukaryota; Metazoa; Chordata; Mammalia; Rodentia; Sciuridae. The record is from RNAcentral.
UGUAGGCCCGCGCCGGCUCAGCGCCUUCACUCCUUGCCGGGUCUGUGCGUCUGUCUCGCGGUGGGGCAGCCCUCGAGUGUGGUGCCUGGUGACUGGGAGUGACCUCAGAAGGGCCCGCGUGGGGCGCGGAGGAGAGGGGACGCGCAGCUGCCCACCGGCAUCCUCGUCACGGCCCUCCGCUCCCCACCAGGCGUGGGAAGUAGAGAUAAAACCGAAAGGGAGGGAGGCGCGGGGGCUGGAGCGGGCGGAGUAAUGGGAACCGCGUGAGCGCGGCCAAGAGGUGAGGAGGUGGAGGAGUGGGAGGGAGGAGGAGAGGGGUGCAGCGGUCGGGGACGGGCGGGAGGUGGGGCCGCAAGACCCCUGGGCCGGCCUUAGUCAGACUGGGCAAGCCCGGACCUGUCACCCCUCUUCUGGCCUGGGACGCAUCUGCCGGGACCUAUCCCGGCUCAGUCCAGGAGUUUGAAGGUGGGGGUGGGGAUGAGAAGAGCCACUUACUUCCCAGGUGUAAAGGCCACAACGUGGCCACUUGGGGUUAUUCUUGUGUCUUGUGUGUGGGUAAUUUGUUUUCAUUAUUAUUAUUUUGGUUUCAAAGCCGUGGUGAGAGUUUCCUUUGGUUAGAUUUUGGGAGGAAAAUCUGCCUCCUGGUAUAUCACCCCCUGGCACACACACACACUGAAAAGUGAACAGACUGGGUAAGGAAUUUUCUAUGGUGAACUGUGGAUGAAUUUAGCAAUUAAGGAGUCUAGAAUGACAUUUUGAAACAAACAAAUUUGUUUAUUUGUGUGCUAGGGAGGUGACAUGGGUAUGAGGGUGGUUUUAAAAGAUAGAUUACAUAUCAUGAAUUAACUUAUUAAUGGAAUUCAGAAUGCUCUGGUAUUUGUUAUUGUUUGGUUUAAAAGAAACAUAAUUUUAGCGACAAUUAAAAGUUUGACGUAAAUGAUAUCACAUGGGCAGUUAAAAUUGAUAAUCUUACCUAAAGUUAUGGUUAGAUUGAAUAGUAGAUAUCUCCAUAACCAGAUUUCAUGUUUAAUUUUUUUUCUGAUUAUCACAAAAAGAAAGCACAAAAGUUGAGAACUCAACUUUUGAUAUUAGUCUAGAUUGUGCUUCAGUCCAUGUUACACCUUUUAUUUUUAAUGAGGUUAUAAUAGUCUUACAUGAGGAAAAUGAUUCCUAGAGAUGCCAGUUAAGUUUAAGCUUUGUCUUAAAGUGACUUAGUUUUUAUGACUUAGCUUUCUUGACCCCUGUUAGUUUUUUUGUCAUUCAUUCAUUCAUGUCUUCAAAUGUGUCAAGCAAUAUGCAAAUCUGGCAAAUAAAAAUACAGUCUGUGUUCAUGGAAUUUUGUAUAGUAGUGGCACCCUUUUAAGAGUGAAUCUUGACAAGGAUUCUUUUUCAUACCAUGAAUAUCUAGUUGAUCAAGGCAAAGCUUUUUACAAGAAUAUACUAUUAUAGAUGUUUAUGUAUAACUGGCAUUUAAAGAGGAACAGCAUUAGUUGAUAUUGUCUUUGGUUAAAAAGACAGUAUACAUGCUAGUGGUGUGCCCUUUAAGAGGAGUAAGUUUUUCUUUUUGCAAAGUUGGUGUAAAUAUAAAGUUCACAAUUGGAAAUCUACCAGAAAAAAAAUUAGUAUUUUUCCAUUCUGUACAUUGGUCUGAUUAAUUUACCAUAUGUUAAUAACUUGUGAUUUACAUACAUAAUAACAUAAAGCAUAUUUCUCAGGGACAUGUCUAAAAUAAUUUUAUUACUCAGUAAUACCUUCCUUGAGGAGAUAGUUGACAUAAGCACUUUCAGCAUGAAAUAUGUUGUGAUAUAAGGUGGUAUAGUUUUCAACUUUAAGAUGUCUACCUGAAAUUGAAAUUUUAGCAAAAUCAGCAUUUAUUGAUAGAAAAAGUACAGAAUUAUCAAGGAGAGUAAGAUGCAUAUUAAAUAUCCCUAAUCCCCAAAUCCAAAAUCUGAAGCAUUUUAAGUAAGCUCUUACAUGAACAUCAUAAAUGGAAAAUUAUAUACCAUGAAACUUUUUUCAUGGACGAAAACAUUAAAAGUACUAUAUAUAAAUUUUCAGGCUGUGCAUAGUGGUGUGUACCUAUAAUCCCAGCUACUCAGGAGGCCGAGGUAGAAGAUCACAAGUUCCAAGCAGCUUUGGUAAUUUAGCAAGACUCUCAAAAUAAAAAGGGCUGGGGAUGUAGCUCAGUGGUAGAGCAAUCCUAGGUAUAGCAGAACAAAAAAGUACCAUCUCAUUUAAGUCCUACAUUUUGCAUGUGGAUGAACAAAUGAAGAUAAAUCUACUAUUUGUUUUCAUUUUUCUAUUUACUCACUAUGUUUUACAAGUUUUCCUAUUUUUAUGCCAUCUCUAACUUUUGAUUCAAAGAUAAUACAAUUUAAUUCAUGUUUGAGCAUUCUGUUUAGUUAGAUUUUGAAAUGUGAAAGGGGCAUUAGAAGUCAUUUUGUAAACCACUUUCAUUUUAUUGAUGAGAAAAUUGAUACUAGAGAAGUUAGCUGAUUUUCUACCAUGCAUGAAGCAAAAAAUGGCACCAGAACUUAGUUUUUCUUAUUUUUAUUUUACUUCUACUAUAUUAUUCUGCCUCUCCUCAUUGUUAUCUGACUAGACUAAUUCUUGGGGACCUUUUUAAAUCAAGAUAUAAUCUCAUUUAUCUUGCUGGUUUCAGUAUAUUUUGACUAAUCUUCCUGUUUCUCUGAUUAAUUCUCCAAAGAGGAUUUUUAGGAAUUGCAUUCAUUAUCCGAGGUUUAUAGUAGUAACAUGGAAAAUUAGGUUGAAAUUUGGAGAGGCACAUAAUAAAAAUCCUAGUAAGGAGUAAGAAAUUUACAGUUAACAAUAAGAGAUUUUAGGAUAUAUUUUAAUAAGAUAAUUGCUGAUCGGUGAAUAUAUAUAUAUGAAGAAGGAGAAGUUUACACCUGCUUAUUUAAUCACUAAACCAAAGAUUGCCAAACUACUGAAUCAGAAUUCCUAGCGAUGGUGUCUAGAAAUAUGAAAGAAACUCUCCAGUGAUUAUAAACAGUUUGUAUUUUGGGGUAAAUUCUACUUUAAACCUAUGAACUCAACAGCUCUUACUUUAGGAUACUAUCUGUUUUAUUAAACUUGAACUUCAAAAGAAGCAAAGUAACUUCUCAGGAUUAUAGAGAAGCAGUUGCUAAUGUUUUGUACUAUUUUCAAAGAUUUGUUAGGUCAUUUUAAAUUAAGUGAAGGCUAGCAAAGUAUUCAGUUAUGGGUAGCUAAGAAAUAUGAUACAUAGAAUUUGAUAAGAGAAAGUGCAAAUUCCUUUUUCCAAGAGAGGAAAUUCAUGCUUACUGCUGAAAUAGCUCCUCUAGUUAGGAAAAUUUUGUUUACUCUUUUUUUGAAAGUGAAUAGAAUGCCCUUAGGCUAAUCAAAUGGAAUGAUAUGAAGAUGUUAAAUUCUUCUCUUAAGCAUAAAUAGAAAUAAACACACCUUUAUCUUCAUUUAAGAAACUUAAUUAUAAAAUUCUACAUAAAUUAUUUUGAAGUAGAAAUUUAUUUGGGGGUGAUAACUCAACUUACAAAAUAAUUUCAGUAUAUCUUUUCCAGUUUGAAUGCAUUUUCUAAAAUGAGGCCUGCUUUGGAGUAGUACCUUUAACACUAAGGAGUCUUACUGAACAUUCUCCAAGGAGUGAAGGAAGCUUUGCAAAAAUAAAGUAUUAUCUUUAUUCUGAGGAUUGGAGUGGUAAGGAAUGCCUAAAAAUCACUUUUGGGUAGCUUCAUGGUUUCACUCUGAAUAUACAUCAUCUAGCAAAUAUUUACUAAGUUCCUAAGCAUAGGCCAAUAACUACACAAGGUACUGGGGAAAAAAGCAAAAACUACACUACUUAUGAUCUAUUGAAGACCAGUGUGAGGUUCCUGGUUUUGUAGGACUCUUGAGUGUACUGACCUGAGACAAGGACUUGUCACUCAUUCAUUGAAUCUGAAAAUCAGCUUGGAAAGAAAAUGAGUACACUGUUAGGAAGUUUAAAGAGUGGAUGAUUUCACUCCAACUAUUCAGAGCUAAUGUGUUCAUACAUUAUUUAUUAAAAAACAGAAUAUUGGAAAAACAUUGAUAAGAUGCUGAAUCCAAUGGAUAUUUAACCUCAUGUAAUAUUUUGCAUGGUUAACUACUACUCUUUCUUUUCCUUUUGUUUUGAUGAUAUCACACUUCUGGUUUUCUCUAGUCUUUUUGGCCUCUUGCUAUUCAAAAUCUCCUUUAUAGACCUUUUCUUAUUUAUUCCUUGAAGGCUUGUGCUUCUGCACCUUCUGUCUUUUCUUCUUAGUCUUCAUACAAAUCUGUGGGUGAUUUUCCCCGCAGUAUUUACAAGUGUAGGCACUAGAUUGAUUUUUGCUAGCUUGGUCUACCCAGCAUGCUGUCUAGCAUGUAGUAGAAAUACCAGUUAAGAAAUAUCAGUGAAAUGAGUAAAAGCUGUUUUAUUCAUCUGCUUAUCCUUCCUAGCCCACCUCUGUCCUAGGGUUUAGCAACUAUUGACUUUUCUUUUAACCUUACUUUUUCUUUUCUGCUGUAUUGUUUGAGACGUGAAAAUGCUUGCCUAAUUAUUAAUUUUGGAAUUGUCUACUUGUACAGUUUUGAGUUCUUUGAAAGAAUGUCAUCAUCAGUUGAAUAAAUCACAACAAGUUAGAUUUGGGGGAAGACAUAAAAGCUUUUCUUUCAUGUUUGAGCAUAUUUUCUACUUUGUAAAAACAUUUUAUCUCAGAAGAUUGAAUAAUCAAGUUUCUGUGAAAAAAUAUUUUUGGGGUCUUUUGAAGAUGAUAUAAAUAGAUGUGUAGGAACCUAAGUAAAAUACUGCCCCAUUUUGUGGCAGUUUUGUCUUCACUUUGUGCUUUCUGUCAAUUCCUCCAUCCAUUCAUUACAUAAAAAUUUACUGAGGACUUCCUAUGCCUUAGACACUGUUUUAAGUGCUAUGGAUAUUGCAGGGAGCCAAGUUCAUAGUCUAUUGGAUGAAGUGGACAUAAACAUGGAAAAUAAGUCAUAAGUGCUGUGGAGUAAAGUGGAUUAGGUACAGAGAAGGAUCAAGGAGGGGGGUGUUAUUUUGUAUAGGAUGACUAAGAAGUCUUCUCUGUUAAGAUAUUUGAGCAAAGACCUGAAGGAAACAAAGGAAUUGUUUAUGUGGUAUCUCCAGAAGGAGAAAUUGAUGUUUAUAUCAUUGGAAGGAAGGGCAAUGUGAUGCCAUAAAGAGCAAGGAGGAGCAUUUAGGAGGUCAAAUUAAAACAUAGAACAUUCCUUCAGGCCUUUGAAGAUAAUCCAGAGAUAAGAUUUUAAGCAGAUAAGAGAGCAACAGUGUUUGUGAGGUUUUAAAAAAGAGUUAUUCUAGCCAGGUAUGGCAGUGAUUCAGUAUGUUGAAGCAGGAGGAUCUCAAGUUUAAAGCCAGCCUCACCAAAUUAGUGGAGGCCCUAAACAAAUUAGUGAGACCCUGUAUCAAACUAAAAAAUAAAAGGGCUGGGGAUGUCGAUCAGUGGUUAAGCACCUCUGGGUUCAUUCCCCCAGUACCCAAAACAACAAAAACAACAACAUCCAAAAAAGAAUUAUUUUAAAAUAAAGGGUGGAAAAAAGACAAAAAAAAAAAAAAAUUUGUUUAUAUGCAGAAACUAGAUGUUUGGAAUUAAGAGUGAAAACAGGAAGAAUGAAUAGAAGGCUAUGAAGCACACACAUUUCUCUACAGACUUACAGAAUAUUUCUAACACCAUAUGUGCACUUUUUUGUUUUACAUUGACCAGUUCUCAGAUACCAGUUAUGUCCUACAGUUAAAUUUAAUUCUGUCACUAUCUACCUGGAAUUAUCCUCAUAUCCUACAAGUUAAAGGCUCACUUCAGAUGCCAUCAGAAGUCUGGGCCUUCUAAACAUUUGACUCAUUUGCUAUAAAUCCAGGGUUCCCAUUACACAUUGUUUGAGUUCAAAAAUUUGCAAGAAUGACUCAAAGAACUCAGGGAUGCACUUUACUUGUAUGAGGAUACAGAUGAAGAGAUGCCUAGUGCAAGGUCUAGAAGGGACCCAACCUCAAGGAGUUUCUGUCCCUUUUGGAGUUGUGGUGUGCUGUUCUACAAGCUGGUACGUUGUUUCACCAACAUGUGAGUUCAUCAUUUCUUCUUCAAGAGUUUGUUGUACAGAGUUUAAUUGACAGCUUCUCAACCUCCUGCUCCCAGAGAUUAGUGGGUGUUGCUGGAAAUUCCUAGCCUUGUAAUUACUUGGUCUUUUAGGUUAUUGGCCCAACCUGUCACUUUAUUGUCAUAAACUCAGGUAUGAUCAACAAGGGCUUGCUAUGAAUACAAAAAGAGACUUCUAUAAUUCAGGAAAUUCCAAGGGUGUUCUGUGUUGGAAUCCCAGGACAAAUACCAAAUCUGUUUCUUUUUUGGGGUGUGGGGGACUGCUGAUUAAACCUGGGGUGCUUUAUUACUGAGCUACAUUCCCAUUCCUUUUAAUUUUGAGACAGAGGCUCAUUAAGUUGCUGAGGUUGUCUUCAAACUUGUAAUCUUCCUGCCUAAACUUCCCUAAUCUUUGAGAUUAUAGGCAUGUACCACCAUGCCUGUAAUAACUGAGAAAUAACAUUGGAUCUAGCAAUGCUGAGGUUAUUUGUGACUUUAAUAGCUUGAAUAGUAGAGGAAAAAACCUUACUGGAAUGGAAUUUUUGCUAUAAAUAGGAAGCAGAAAAGUGGAAUGGUAAUUGAAGAGGGUAAAGCAGAGAUUUUAAAAAUAUGAACGCCACUACAGCAUGUUCUUAGGUUUGGGGAAUGAUUUAAUGAGGAAGAAAAUAUUACAGAUAAGGAGAGAGGGGAUGGUUUCAACAUAGUAUCUUUUUAUCAUUGUUCCCAGGACUUAAAUAAUUUUUCAUGAAUAAAUUAACAAAUUCAUUUAUAAAACUAUCAUCAGAUACAUUUUUUUUUAGAUCAGUGCUAGAUAAAAAGUGGAAUAAAGAACAUUUUAGUAAUACCUUUUUUGGAUUGUUGUGAGAAUUAAAUUAUAGUUUUCCUUGGUUGGAUUACCAUCUUGAGGUUAUUCUUUCAUCCUCAUUAACUUGUUGUUUUCUAAGUCUUUGCAUUUUCCUUAUAAUUCUUUACUAAUCUUUUCUUUGCUUUCCUUUUUUCCCAUGUGAACUUUUUAAAAAAGUUCAAAAAUCUGAGAUCCCUCUUAUGGAUUAAUUCUUAGAUGUAGAAGACAUAUUUGUUAGUAAAGUGAAGGAAGGAUUUUUAAAUGUUUGUUGCAAAUAAAAUUCAGAAUAUGGAGUUAAAUUUAAAUUUCAGGUGAAUAACAAAUAUUUUUUUACUUACUAAAAUCAUUAGGAGCUAUUUGGAGUAUUUUAAAUUUUUCCAAAAAAAGUUGUUUAUGUGAAAUUCAAAUUUAUCUUUACAUUUGUGUUUUUGUUAAGUCUGGCAACUACAGUUUAGAGUAAAGAUUUUAUGAUUCUUAGUGUGAGAAUAGAAAUGCAAAAGUAUAUUAUCAGUGUUUGGGUUUUUCAAUCCUGGCAGUGAAAUCACAUAUAAAUGAAGAGCAGGAAGGGGGAGUUACUUCAAAAAACUGAUGUUGCUGGGGCUGGGGAAAUGGCUCAAGCAGUAGCACGCUUGCCUGGCCUGCAGCCCAGGUUCGAUCCUCAGCACCACAUACAAACAAAGAUGUUGUGUCCGCCGAAAACUAAAAAAUAAAUAUUAAAAUUCUCUCUCUUUCUCUCUCUCUCUCUGUCUUUAAAACAACAACAACAACAACAACAACAACAACAACAAACCUGAUGUUGCUUUGCCUGAAUACUUUAAAGUAUGAACUGAACAUAGAAGAGUAUAGAAACCAAGGACACAUACAGAUUUGUAAGACUGGAAUGCCUGUCCUUGAGAAAACGUUAGAGUUAGCAAAAAGCAAUUUUCAAGCUGCUGUUAUCCCCAGUCUGUUUCUUGGGGCAUGCAUGUACUUGGAUGUUAAAAAGAAAAACAAAAAAGGCUUAUUUAUCUAUUAAGUCUGCUUCCUCCUUUUAUACCAAAGAGAAUGGAGAGUGGACUCUGGAUUGGAAAGGCAGAAUUGAUUUGGACAAAAUUGAAGUGCAUUAUGGGUGAGAAUAUUAAAAGAGCCUCCUGAUGGUCAACAUUCAGAUGUUUAGUUUCUUAUAAACCUGAGAAUUUUUAGAGAAAUGUUUUCAAAACCUAUAGGGUGCCAGACAUUUAGUUUGAUGCUUUCAUAAUCAUUAUCUCUUAUUAGACUCUGUUUACUUAAAAAUUAAUUAUAUAAUAUUUCAAUAAUAUGGAAAAUUUUCAGAAAAUAAUGUUAACACUUUACUGCAUACCCAGAUUUAACAAGUAUUAACUUUCAUUUGCAUUGGAUUUUUCUUUUUGAAAAAAUAGCAGCUUUUGUUCCUUUUUGUCACUUCACUCUUUCCUCAGUCCUUGAAGCUGGUAUAUGAGAUUCUCAUGUAUGUUUCUACAUAUUUCUGUGUAAUGAGAUAUAAAUCAAGGCAUACUGAGGAGGACUGAUAGAAAUGGAAUUGAUUAAUAUAGUGAGGAAAAAAGCUUAGAGUAGGAUGACAAAUGUCGUCAGCUGUUUUAGAAGCCAUUUAUGCAAAUGAGUGCUUAGAUUUGAUAGCUUACUGACAUUAGAUAGUACAGAUAAUUUUUGUAGAAGUACUUUGAGACGAGAAUGCAACAUACAUUGAGUUAGUAAUUCAAUUUAUGAUCUAUGCUUUUUGAAAACUUCUGUAAACAUUGAAAAACAUAGUGUUUAACCUAUACAGAUGUCAUUUUUAUUAAAAAGUUACCAAAGUAUGUCAAGUAUAAUUUUCAAAUAUUCAAUUAUUUUCUCCAUAAAAAAUGUUAACUUGCUAUCUUUAGAGAGAUACAUGACAUAACUGUUUGUUAAAGCUUCAUUCUAUAAUUUUUAAGCCAUCAAAAUGUGAAUUAGGCCAGGUACAGUGUCACACACCUGUAAUUCCAGCAGUUUGGAAUGCUGAGUCAGGAGACUCACAGGUUUAAAGCCAGCCCCAGCAACUCAGUGAGGCCCUAAAUAACUUAUCUAGACCCUGUCUCAAAAUAAGAAGGGCUAGGGAUGUGGGUCAGUGAUUAAGUGCCCCCUAGGUUCAAUUCCUGGUACUAAAAACAAAUAAACAAAAAGGUGAAUUUAAAAACAUGUUUCUAAUGUUUGAUACUUUUUAAAAGCAUGUUGAUUCUUUAGUAAUUAAUUUUUUUAAAGUAGGAGGUAUCAUUCAUUCAUGACUGACAAAACCUGUUUGUAUUUUUUUGUUUGUUUGUUUUGUUUUAGUUGUAGACAGACACAAUACCUUUAUUUUAUUUUAUUUUUAUGUGGAACUAAGGAUUGAACCCUGGGCCUCAAACAUGCUAGGCAAGUGCUCUACCACUGAACCCCAACCCCAACUACAAACCUUUUUUUUUUUUUUGCCCCCCGUUUUAUUAUUUAUAAUUUGUUGCAAAGAAAAAUGGCUUAGAAUUUUUAAAUGUAGGAAUGAGAAAAAUGGGCUUGACCUUUUCAAAGAUUUCAGUUUAGAAAGCUAUAACUGUAUGGAGUAUGAUAGGGAAAUGGCAUGUCAGCUCAGAAUGAGGCACACAGAAAAUGUUCUAUGGAUUGUAUUUGUCAAGACACAUUUCUGAUUGAUAUAACGGAAGAGAUUACCCUGUUUCUAUGAUUAGUUUAUUAUAAAUUACAUCAUAAAUAUCAAAUCUACUAGAAUGUCAUGUAAUUUUAGGUUAUACAAUACAUCCUUUCAGGAAGAUCAAGUAUGUUUUAAUCUGCUGUGACCAAAAAAAAAAAAAACCUGACAAAAACAAUUUUAGAGGAGGAAAAGUUAAAUUGGGGCUCAUAGUUUCAGAGGUCUUAGUCCACUGACAGCUAACUCCAUUGUUCUAGGCUAGAGGUGAGUCAGAAGGUCACCAAGGAAGGGUAUGGAGGAGGAAAGCAGCUCAGGGGGUGGUACCAGGAGGCCAAGAGGGGAGGAGAGGAUUCUAAUUUGUAAUACCCUGUGAGUUAGUUCUCUGUUUUUCUGUUUCUUGUUUACUGUGCAACUUCAUUUGAGUCCUAUUUAUGAAAAUUUGGCUUCCAGUUUUCUAUAUUUGAGAGGCAGAGGUAGACAUUUCUUUCAUUAUCACGAUGUAUAUGUCAACCUCUUACAUGGUAUUGGGAUUAGAGCUAUUUAUAACAAAAAACUAAGGUCAUCAUAUCUUUAAAUUUGGAGUAACACUGAUUGAGAGUAAAAAUGAACCAAAUUUUUAAAUGCUUCAGGAAAGGAAUGGUGCUCUAUAUAAUUGUGUCACGGAGGACUGUAAAGUCAGGAAAACCCUUUCCUUCUCAACAUCUAAGGCUGAGCAUCACUAGAGUUUUGGUUUGGUAUUAAGAAUGUAUCUCUUGAGAAGAUGUAUUCAGAGUUUUUGAGUCAAAUAAAUUUUUUAGCCUAUGUUCCUUGAACCUUUGGAAUGAGAAUUAUGUUUUUUAGACAUAAUCUAUUAUAGGUCAUUUUCCACUGGGACCAAUGGGGAGAGAGUUAAUAUAAACACAUGUGUAGUGGGUCUGUUCCAGAUUUUCUUGAGAGUGAUUUGUGUACUUAUUUGAUCUUUGUGAGGUGUUUAUUCAGACUCUUGUUGUCCUCAUAAGAAGCUGAAAUAUUCUAGCCACUUGUUUUCCUAAAGACAUUUAAAGAAAAUGAUUUUCUUAUGCUUUGUGAAAAGUAAGAUCAAUAUAACUGUAGGGGAUCUUCUAUAGUAUAAAUACUGAUUUGUGGUUAUUUGCUUGUCAAGGCUUCUCUACUUGCCCCAAUCUUUGGGUGGGAACUUUGAUUUGUAUGUAGUUAGUUGAGUAAGUUAAGAGAAUAAGAACCUUAUACAUAUUUUUUUGUUUUUAAGAAAUCAUUAUAUAUUUUGUAUUACAUGAAAAGUACAUAUGUAGGUAUGUAAUUGUCUUUCCUAUGCUUCCUUUAUUCUCUCUUUUCCAAUGUGUUUCCUAACUUAAAUGGGAACUGUUUUAGUUAGCUUUGCAACAUUGUGAUCAAAAUAUGCAAGAACAGCUUAUGGGGGAAAGUGUAUUUGGGGAUCAUGGUUUCAGAAAUUUUUGUUUAUUGAUGGUGGAGUCCAUUGUUCUGGGCCCAACGUGAGGCAGACCAUCAUGAUUGAUGGACAUGAUGGAGGAAAGCAACUCACCCCAUGGUGGCCAGGAAGCAGAGAGAGAAAGCCCAAGAAGGGGCCUGUCGGGAAGAACAGUUCUUCCAGGACAUAUCCUCAGUGACCCAUCUCCUCCAUCUGUACCCCAUAGUUAUCAUCCAGUCAGUCCAUGCAAAGUAGGAUGGACUGAUUAGGUUAUAGCUCUCACAGUCCAAACACUUUACUUCUGAAAGUUCCUGCAUUAACAUAGGAGCUUUUGGGGGCACCUUAUAUCCAAAUCUUAACAGAAGCUGUUCAAGAGCACUUGCUUUUUUCUUAAGAGUGAGGUGGGAUCUAAAGUGAAUUUGUGCCUUUACCACAUAAAUCAAUGCUUUCAAAAUGUAACAUCAGAAAAGAGACAUGAUAUAUGGAAUAUUCUACCUCAGGCAUGGUCUUAUAAACAAAUGGCUACUUGCACCACUAUUGAGGCAGAAUAUUUUCAGUUUAGUGUCAGGGUCUUUGAAGACUUUAGAAUGCAUCUUCGCAGCCCUUCAGUGUGGGUAGAAAAUUUAAACUCUAGUGUUCUAAAACAUUUAUUUUUAUUUUUUAAAAUAUUUUUUUAGUUGAUGGGCCUUCAUUUUAUUUAUUUAUUUAUUUAUAUGUGGUGCCCAGAACCGAACCCAGUGCCUCACACAUGCUAGGCGAGCACUCUACCACUGAGCCCCAGCCCCACUCCCCUAAAGCAUUUAUUGUAUGCCUUACUUAUUUGUGUGUGUGUGUGUGUGUGUGUGUGUGUAUUCUGGGGAUUAACUGGGUUUAGGAGUGCUUUACCUCUGAGUUACAUCCCCUUUUUUAAAUUUUUGUUAAAAUUUUUUUUGAAACAGGGCCUUGCCAAGUUGCCCAGGUUAGCCUCAAUCUUGUGAUCUUUCUACCACAACUUUUUGAGUUGCUGGGAUUACAGGUGUGUGCCACUAUGCUCUCAGCUCCUUAGUUUUCUGUAGAUGAUACGAGCUUUGUACAGUCCUUGAGAGGAUUAAUAGAAAAAGUCAUUCAAGAUACAUUCAAUCAUUCAGUAGAAUUUAAUCAUCUCACAGAAUCCCAUUGAUAAAGGCUGGUAGGAUGUAUACUGCACAUGAAUUAAAAAAAAAUUUUUUUUUAGUUGUAUAUGGACUCAUUGCCUUUUAUUUGUUUUUAUGUGGUGCUAGGAUCAAACCCAGUGCCUCACACUUGCCAGGCAAGUGAUCUACGACUGAGCUACAACUCCAGCCCCACUGCACAUAAAUUCUGACUCCCAAUUUCUUACUAGAUGGGUUUCUUUGUCACUACUGACUUGGGGCAAAACUGGUGAUUUAAGGAUGAAGGACACCAUCUCUAAAACAGUGGAGUUUUUGCUUCAUCUGUGAACUUGUUAGAAAUGCAAACUUUUAUGCCCUAAUUCAGUGCUGUGUGAUCUUCCAUAUCAGAAAAUUGGGGUAAAGAUUAAGGUGGUAGGGCUCAGCAAUUUGUUUUAGAAAGCCCUCUAGGUGACUUUAAUAAAUAAUAAAAAUUGAAAAUUUCUGCCCUAUGCUGUCCACUAAUUCCCUAUGUCAUAUUUUUCCUCUACAUGCUUCAGGAAAUAUGUUGCUCACUGUUAGAAAAAUUCAUUUAUAACUUUCUGAAUCAUCUUAAUUUCCACAAAUGCUCUCCUAAAUUCAUUCCCAGUGGGCAGUUGGAAUCUAAAGUUGGCUACCCUAGGGAGUUUAUUUGCAAAUUUUUUGGACUGCAAUUCUCCAGUGUGAUAUAGACUCCAACUGGUUUUUUAAAAGUAUGUUCACAUACCUGUUCCUUACUGAUUUGCAGUGUAAUUAUGUAUGUUUGUAGAUCUUAUCAUUUUGUUUCUGAUUUUUAAUCUUACUAUAUUUUGCUCAGAGAAUGACCUAUAUCAGGGGUCAGGAAACUAAUUUGGUCACUCUGAGCCCAAAUAUACUUUUUAUUUCUUUUCUUUCUUUAUUAUUGGCAGUGCUGGGGAUUGACCUCAGGGUAUUGUGCAUGCUAGGCAAACACUGUACAACUGAGCUUCUUUGUCUGUGACGUGUGCUGGAUUAUUUCUUUAAUGCUGUCUUUCAGGUCAUACUUUUCCUUUUAGCUGUGAUUAAUCAGUUCUGUAGUCUAUCUGUUGAUUGUUUUCAAAUUUAACAAUUAUAUAUUUUUAUUUAUAAAAUAUAUUUUCAAACCCUGCAAGUUCUUAUUCAGUAUUUUAAAAAUCCUUCUUUUAUUUUUUUUAAUCUCAGUUAUGUAAUAUCUAAUUAUUUUAAUAUAUGAGUCAGAUUUUCUAGGUAUUAAGCUUUAUAGAGAUUUAGUUAAGAGGAACAGCAGAAGCUGGGAGUGGUCUAAAAUAUCUUGUAUGUUCCUUGCCCCCAUCCAUCUGUUUUUUUUCCUUCUUCUAUUGGACAGUUUUGGCCAGAUAAUUGUUUGUUGUGGAGAGGCUAUCCUGUGUUUUAUAGAAUGUACAGCAGCUUCACUGACCUCUACCCAUCAGAAGUCAUAGACCACUUUCACUUCCUUUCUAAUUGUGAUAACUCAAAAUGUCUCCAGAUAUUGCCAAAUGUCCUGUGGGGAGUGGUGUGGAGAGGGAAUCUAGUUGAGCAUUGUUUUAAGACUUAGAAAACUUACUUGACAUUCUCUGGGGAUUUUAUAACUGUAAAUAGUAGUUUUGUUCUAAUAAGCAAUCUUAAGCCAGGACAAUCUUAAAAAGAGAUAGAUAAGGAUUCUCCAAAUGCAAAUAUUAUUAAAUCUAUUUGCCUGGACAUUGGUUGUUUAAUUGCAAGCAUGCUAACAGAGACUAGACAUAGUUAUCAGACUCUUUUUCCCUGGGAGUUUACCAUCACCAGCUGCUUUGAUUCUUUUUUUUACUCCAGUCUCCUGUUCCUAUUUUCUCCAUUUUUCUUCCUUUUUUUAAUUGAAAAAAAAAAUUAUUGAGUACCAAAAAUGUUCCAUGUUAAGAAGCCAAAUAUAUGAACAUCAGUGGGAAGAGCAUUGCAAACAGAGAAAACCACUGGAAAGUUGUGUAAUUUGAAAUCAGUGCAUGUAAAAUAAAAUUGGGGAAAAUAUUGUCAGUUUUCUUCAUGUCUUUAUAUUAUUGGUAGUAGUAAAACAAUAUUUGAGGCUUAUAUUAAAAUACUGUGUAGAAGUCAUUUUGAAGUAAUAGUAUAGUAAUAUCCUGAAACAAAUAUCUAUUUGUUCCUUUUUCUUUUCUGCAGCCAUAGUAAAUGUGUUAUUUAAAACAAAACAAAAUGAAACAAAAAAACCUUCAAGAGUUGGAAAUGUAUCAGGAGAAUUUUUAACUGUUUUUUCUCCCCCUUGCCUUGUAUUGGUCAGUUUUUUGAGUCGAUUAUACCUCCCAUUUCUGAACAGAUAAAUAUCAUCUUAUUUUGUUUCAGUUUCAGGUUUCUCAUUGCAGGGAUCACUGAUUGAGAAAUAGAUGGCUUUGCCUCGCCUCACAGGAGCCUUGCGCUCCUUUUCAAAUGUUACCAAGCAAGAUAAUUAUAGUGAAGAAGUGGCUGACUUAAAGGUAAGUUUUUUAAAUGAGAACUCUUAUAGAGUAUG